CCUACGGGGUGCACCAGUGGGGAAUAUUGGACAAUGGGGGCAACCCUGAUCCAGCCAUGCCGCGUGAGUGAUGACGGCCUUAGGGUUGUAAAGCUCUUUUCUCCGGGACGAUAAUGACGGUACCGGAGGAAUAAGCCCCGGCUAACUUCGUGCCAGCAGCCGCGGUAAUACGAAGGGGGCUAGCGUUGCUCGGAGUCACUGGGCGUAAAGGGCGCGUAGGCGGCUGAUUUAGUCGAGGGUGAAAGCCCGUGGCUCAACCACGGAAUGGCCUUCGAUACUGAUUGGCUUGAGACCGGAAGAGGACAGCGGAACUGCGAGUGUAGAGGUGAAACUCGUAGAUAUUCGCAAGAACACCAGUGGCGAAGGCGGCUGUCUGGUCCGGUUCUGACGCUGAGGCGCGAAGGCGUGGGGAGCAAACAGGAUUAGAUACCCGCGUAGUC
This 440-nucleotide ribosomal RNA is filed under the name uncultured bacterium. RNAcentral describes it as "bacterial SSU rRNA". It matches the Rfam family "Bacterial small subunit ribosomal RNA", at positions 338 to 795 of the family's 1533-position model. The record is from RNAcentral.